UCGGGAAUUUUGGGCAAUGGGCGAAAGCCUGACCCAGCAACGCCGCGUGAAGGAUGAAGUAUUUCGGUAUGUAAACUUCGAAAGAAUAGGAAGAAUAAAUGACGGUACUAUUUAUAAGGUCCGGCUAACUACGUGCCAGCAGCCGCGGUAAUACGUAGGGACCAAGCGUUGUUCGGAUUUACUGGGCGUAAAGGGCGCGUAGGCGGCAAUUCAAGUCAUCUGUGAAAUCUCCGGGCUUAACCCAGAACGGCCAAGUGAUACUGUCGCGCUAGAGUGCAGAAGGGGCAAUCGGAAUUCUUGGUGUAGCGGUGAAAUGCGUAGAUAUCAAGAGGAACACCUGAGGUGAAGACGGGUUGCUGGGCUGACACUGACGCUGAGGUGCGAAAGCGUGGGGAGCAAACAGGAUUAGAUACCCUAGUAGUCCCUGAGCGGGCUGGCAAGGCGCAU
Molecule: ribosomal RNA, 447 nt
Filed under: uncultured bacterium
Lineage: Bacteria
Description: bacterial SSU rRNA
Rfam family: Bacterial small subunit ribosomal RNA
Source: RNAcentral